Molecule: ribosomal RNA, 427 nt
Filed under: uncultured bacterium
Lineage: Bacteria
Description: partial 16S ribosomal RNA
Rfam family: Bacterial small subunit ribosomal RNA
Source: RNAcentral
UGGGGAAUAUUGGACAAUGGGCGAAAGCCUGAUCCAGCCAUGCCGCGUGUGUAAAGAAGGUCUUCGGAUUGUAAAGCACUUUAAGUUGGGAGGAAGGGCAUUAACCUAAUACGUUAGUGUUUUGACGUUACCGACAGAAUAAGCACCGGCUAACUCUGUGCCAGCAGCCGCGGUAAUACAGAGGGUGCAAGCGUUAAUCGGAAUUACUGGGCGUAAAGCGCGCGUAGGUGGUUUGUUAAGUUGGAUGUGAAAUCCCCGGGCUCAACCUGGGAACUGCAUUCAAAACUGACUGACUAGAGUAUGGUAGAGGGUGGUGGAAUUUCCUGUGUAGCGGUGAAAUGCGUAGAUAUAGGAAGGAACACCAGUGGCGAAGGCGACCACCUGGACUAAUACUGACACUGAGGUGCGAAAGCGUGGGGAGCAAACA